This 253-nucleotide ribosomal RNA is filed under the name uncultured bacterium. RNAcentral's name for it is "partial 16S ribosomal RNA". It matches the Rfam family "Bacterial small subunit ribosomal RNA", at positions 524 to 776 of the family's 1533-position model. The record is from RNAcentral.
UACGUAGGCAGCGAGCGUUGUUCGGAGUUACUGGGCGUAAAGGGUGUGUAGGCGGUUUUUUAAGUUUGGUGUGAAAUCUCCCGGCUCAACUGGGAGGGUGCGCCGAAUACUGAAAGACUAGAGUGCGGGAGAGGAAAGUGGAAUUCCUGGUGUAGCGGUGAAAUGCGUAGAUAUCAGGAGGAACACCGGUGGUGUAGACGGCUUUCUGGACCGUAACUGACGCUGAGACACGAAAGCGUGGGUAGCAAACAGG